GCGGGCGGCGGGCUGGCCGUGAUGCGCAGCUUUGUGCGUCCUGCAUUUGCCCUCGGGGCGUUGUGUUGUUCCUUUGCCUAAAACCGUGGGCUGCCUGCCUGCUCCUCCUUCUCCGACUGGUUAUGAGCAGGAAAAGUGAAGCCGAGAGCAGAGGAUUUUAAGGAGUUCAAAUAAAAAGGGCUGCCAUGAAGCGUUUGUGAAGCUACUGCGCCAGCCUGCCCUGUGAUGGGAGUUCAUUCAAAGGCCAUGUUGUUUCAGGACAAGCAUCAGUAGCAAUUACCACUUCCAGCUUUUCUCUGGAAGUGUGAGUUUUUGCCAGGGGCUCCAGAGUCGCUCUGCUAGCUUCAGCCUCAGAAAGAAAGAUCGGUUAUUCUCAGUUUCCUCUGUCAGUUCGUAAUGCUUAAAUUUCAGAUCGAAAUUGUACUCUCAGUGGCUAUUGUGGGGCUGUGCAUUUGAAAAAAUAUCUGGAUCUUUCCCACUAUGAUCAUCUUUCAGCUGGUCGGUGUGUGAUGCUAUGUAAAACAGCCACCAUGCUUGCCUACGUUAGAGGCACUACCAGAGAAUAAAGAAUUUCACUGCCAUGAUGACUCAGCACAUGAAUAGCUUAUAAUGAUCUGGUUCUCUGACCUUUUCCCCAGCCUCUAAGAAGCUUUCAAAAGCUAUUUAUUCUUUAUGGAAUUUGUGAUUUAAAAACAAAACAAAAAAACCAACUUGACAGCUAUGAAUGACAGUACAUAGAGAUGGAUUAAAAAAAAAAAGAAUUCAAAAUGAGAAAAGAUGAGAUUUUGUACAGUUUUUCAGAUUUUUGUUCUGAUUAGGUUUUACAAAUAUGGACUUUUUUUUGCCUGUUUGCACAGACAGCCAAAUAAACUGUGAUCUGAAUUUUGUACCAAACCUCUAAAACCUGAGUACUAAAGUGAUGAAAAUCAUAAUGCC
Long non-coding RNA from Tympanuchus pallidicinctus (lesser prairie-chicken), 936 nucleotides. RefSeq lists it as uncharacterized. The record is from RefSeq and is a predicted model, not a curated record. Lineage: Eukaryota; Metazoa; Chordata; Aves; Galliformes; Phasianidae. The transcript has 3 exons.